Long non-coding RNA from Chiroxiphia lanceolata (lance-tailed manakin), 433 nucleotides. RefSeq lists it as uncharacterized. NCBI's taxonomy places the organism in Eukaryota, Metazoa, Chordata, Aves, Passeriformes, Pipridae. The record is from RefSeq and is a predicted model, not a curated record. The transcript is spliced from 3 exons.
ACUGAAGUCCCUCUUUACACCUGCUAAACUUUCAGAGGAAGAGUUCGAAGUCAUGGACCCCACCCAUAAGUGCUCAAGGCCUCCUGAUUACUCCUGGACUGGGAAGAAGUCUUCCUGUCUUUCACAAAAGCAUGAUUUCAAAUGUGGACUCCCAAAGGGAGUAACAGUGGUGGUCUUAAAGAUGACGCAACUUUUAAUUCAAGUAAACUCUUCCUAGAGAAAGCAAGAAGAUGGAAGGAGAAUUUGGACAAAUUUGUACCUUUCUGAGUUGGCAGCAUCUAAACAGAGGUGCGCCGGCAGCUGUCAAUGCCUGCUAGAACUACAAGCAACUCCUUGGAAAGAAAGGGACUGCUGCUUAUUUAAAAUAUGUUGUCUUAAAGGAAGCAUCACGGUUUUGCUCAUGUUUAUCCAACUGGUUUGUCACAAACCAUAG